Molecule: ribosomal RNA, 728 nt
Filed under: uncultured eukaryote
Lineage: Eukaryota
Description: SSU rRNA
Rfam family: Eukaryotic small subunit ribosomal RNA
Source: RNAcentral
CGGGUGCACUGAUCCAGCCGGGCCUUUCCCUCUGUGGAACCCCAUGGCCUUCACUGGCUGUGGUGGGGAAACAGGACUUUUACUUUGAAAAAAUUAGAGUGCUCCAGGCAGGCCUAUGCUCGAAUACAUUAGCAUGGAAUAAUAGAAUAGGACGUGUGGUUCUAUUUUGUUGGUUUCUAGGACCGCCGUAAUGAUUAAUAGGGACAGUCGGGGGCAUCAGUAUUCAAUUGUCAGAGGUGAAAUUCUUGGAUCUAUUGAAGACUAACUACUGCGAAAGCAUUUGCCAAGGAUGUUUUCAUUGAUAAGGAACGAAAGUUAGGGGAUCGAAGACGAUCAGAUACCGUCGUAGUCUUAACUAUAAACUAUGCCGACUAGGGAUCGGACGAUGUUAUUCUUUGACGCGUUCGGCACCUUUCGAGAAAUCAAAGUGCUUGGGCUCCAGGGGGAGUAUGGUCGCAAGGCUGAAACUUAAAGAAAUUGACGGAAGGGCACCACCAGGGGUGGAACCUGCGGCUUAAUUUGACUCAACACGGGGAAACUCACCAGGUCCAGACACAGUGAGGAUUGACAGAUUGAGAGCUCUUUCUUGAUUCUGUGGGUGGUGGUGCAUGGCCGUUCUUAGUUGGUGGAGUGAUUUGUCUGCUUAAUUGCGAUAACGAACGAGACCUUAACCUGCUAAUAGCCCGUACUGCUUUGGCAGUUCGCCGGCUUCUUAGAGGGACUAUCGG